UAUAGAAAAUGUAAUGGCGUUUGGAGGCGGGUUUGCGGGGAUUAUCAAAAUGGGCAGUCUGUGAAAAAGCAAAGCUCAACCCAGAAAACCCAUUUGAAAUCACAAAGCCGUACUAUGAUGCCAUUUUUUGAUGUAAAGGGCUGAUAUUUGCAGGGCAACUUGCAGAAAACCUGCAGGUCAAUUUCAGAGCCACGAACAGUAAUUUGUUCAAUCUCUCCCCUUUUUUGCAAUUCAGCCCCUAUCUUUGAAUACAUAAAAAACGAAACUUGUGUUAAAAAGCUGAGAAGAAAAAAAUUUAGAUGUGUUUCCGGCGGCGG
Molecule: long non-coding RNA, 317 nt
Filed under: Erythranthe guttata (spotted monkey flower)
Lineage: Eukaryota; Viridiplantae; Streptophyta; Magnoliopsida; Lamiales; Phrymaceae
Description: long non-coding RNA (EGUT_LNC002255)
Source: RNAcentral